AGUUCACUAUCGGCGUCUCACCAUUGCGGAGUGGAAGCAUGUUGAGGAGUGUCUAGAGAAACGACUGAGCAGUUGGAAAGGUUAUUUUCCGUUGUACGCACUCACUUCGUACGUGGUCUACGCUACAACAGGCGGAGCACCAACCGCUGUUCAAGGCGGUGUGUACGCGGUUGGAGCAGGCGGCUAUGGAGGUUUUUUCCCAACAUGUGUGGCAGCAUAACCUCCGGAUCCAUCCACCGCCGAGUUCGACAUAGGCAAAGUGUCGGUCAAUAGGACUCUACUGUUGUCGUAUUGUCGGUUUUCUUACUUUUUCUAGUGUCAGACUUUGGUGUUUGGCUGUGUGCAUCCUAGUUAUGCAGAGGCCGGGUGUUACUCAUAAUGUUUUGUAUCCGCUUGAUGCUACAUUUGAGAUAAUAAAAUCGCCCUUUAUCGAAA
RNAcentral lists this ribosomal RNA (435 nucleotides) under Triticum aestivum (bread wheat). RNAcentral's name for it is "partial small subunit ribosomal RNA". The record is from RNAcentral. Lineage: Eukaryota; Viridiplantae; Streptophyta; Magnoliopsida; Poales; Poaceae.